UUUUAAUAGUUUUUUCUUUUCUUCCUAGUGAAGGUGAAAAUAUUAAUGCUUCUACUGUUUUUGUUGUGCUAGGUCACUUUGACCACUCAUCUUAAACCAGUGGAACUCCAUGAAAUGUUACAAAUUUACAUCAGCCCAGAAAUGAAUAUUGGAUGUGCUUGCUAAACCUGAAGUUCUACAUGUCUGAGGAGGUAAAAGUUCAAGAUGGCAAUGUAAAUCUCAGCAUUGAUUUCAGCCCUUCUUACUCUACUCCAGAACUUGACACAGUUGAUAAUACUUCCUCUCCACUGAGAUUUACAGAACACCAGAACUUCCUCCCAUUACUUGGGAUGAACUGGUCAAAGGAACAUCAGAGUAUAUCUACAGUUAGCUAAAUUUUAAAAGUUUUAAUCUUGGAACUUCUAGAUGAAAAAAGACUUUGAAACCAACCAUUCUGAAAUUUAUGAGCUCCCCUGCUACCAAAACCUUGCAAGCCCAAUGCAGUAGAGAUAAUGAAGAUCCCAGAUUCCAGUGGUUGCCAAAUUUAUGGUGCUUUAUUUUACAUAGAUUGUAUUGACAGCAUCAUCUGGAAAGGAAAUGGAGCAAAACAUUCAUUUUCAACAAGUUAAUUCUGUUAUUGAUUUUAGAUUUCAUACCUAUACUCUUGUAAUUGAUCCCUCAGUACUUUUGGAAUCCACAAUGGGGUGUUGGUUGAUGGAGGUGCUUUGGUUUAUAUUGCUUUUUAAGUCAUCAAGCAAUUCUUAAAAGUGAUUAAAAAGAGUAAUUGCCUAAGUCAGUAACUCCUGUAGAGUCUCUAAGACCAUGUCUAAGCUAUUCAUCAUAAAGUGAGCUUAGAAUUCACUGCAUUCAUAUUUUAAACAUUCUGUCACCAUUUAUAAUCUGAAUUUGCACUCCCAAUGUAAGAAACAAGAUAAUGUGCUAGGGUAUGGUUAGAUAAUGUCCUGGAUGCAGUGGAAAGAAGAAAAGGAGACAAAUACAGAAAUAAGGUUACCACAUCCUUUUUAAUCUGUUUAACAGUAAUUUCCAUCAGGAUGUCAGAUCAGGUCACAUUUACAAAUGAGCUAUGGAAUCAGUACAUGAAAAAUGAGCUAAGGAGGAGGCUGAUAUUAACUCUGAAAUUUAUUAUUUUGUACAUUUGACUAGAAUAAAAAUAGAACUAGAAUAUCGAACA
Molecule: long non-coding RNA, 1171 nt
Filed under: Cyanistes caeruleus (blue tit)
Lineage: Eukaryota; Metazoa; Chordata; Aves; Passeriformes; Paridae
Description: lncRNA (ENSCCEG00000004402.1)
Source: RNAcentral